ACCAUCAACAUCCCUGGGAUAUUUUGCCCGCCACUCAACACUAGAAGAGCUCAAGUCUUGCAGCAGGUUGGACUUAUCUGGCACCAGUCUUGAUCUGGCCCAUUCAGAUCUUGUCCGCUAUCGUUGCAGUAAGAGAAAAAUUGUGUGUGCACAUCCAGUGCAUUUGCAGAUUUGCGUGCUUCUCUUGCGACCGCAUACACUUGGUACAUGGUGUGUGUGUGUGUGUGCGUGCGCAUGCGGUGAGCACGCACGGUGCGCGGGUUCAAGAUUGUGUUGGUGUGUGCAUGCGGGCGAGUAUAUUCACAUGCUGAUGCUGGUUCUACACAUAUCAUUGUGUUGAGAGUUGGCAGGCGGUGCGAUACAUAUUUUCCAAGGCAUUGGCAUGCCUUUUAAAUUCUCUCGCACAGAUUUUGACCGUGCUCUCAUUUAGGCUCAUGCUGUUCCUCACAGGUACAAUGUGUGCUUGAUACUAAACACACUUUUAAUCAUGAUUUUGGGAUGCUGAAACUCUAAUACUACUACUAGUAUGUUGUCACUUUUGUAAGAUCUCUUACACGCUAUUCUAUAACAUUUAGUGCCCAAGCUUUUCUUGAACCCCUAAAAAUAGGCCUGAUUACAAAAAUAUAAUAUAUGUCUCAUUUCUUUAUCCACAUUCCGAACAUUCAUUAUUAAACAUACCAUAAAAGCUGUAUAGCAUGUCAUUUUAGUAGGGGUGAAACAAUUUUACCGAAUACUCGAGUACUAGCACUCGCUCGGUUUUUUCAUAAAUAAUCGUACUUGGAAUAAAUCAGAGCACUCGUUCAAUUAUGGUACAUGCAUUUACCACAGAAAUCUGCAGUUUCAGAGCAGCAGUCGG
Molecule: long non-coding RNA, 856 nt
Organism: Sycon ciliatum
Lineage: Eukaryota; Metazoa; Porifera; Calcarea; Leucosolenida; Sycettidae
Exons: 2
Source: RefSeq, a predicted model, not a curated record